RNAcentral lists this long non-coding RNA (476 nucleotides) under Homo sapiens (human). RNAcentral's name for it is "non-protein coding LINC00484:17". Lineage: Eukaryota; Metazoa; Chordata; Mammalia; Primates; Hominidae. The record is from RNAcentral.
CAGACACACAUUUCCCUAACGGAGUGUUUCCAGGGGCUUCCACUCUGAUAACAACAGCACACUCACAUCACCAAUGAGGUGCUCCUGGUGACCACCAGGAACAGAGGCCACGUAGGGAGAGACUCCAACUCCCACUGAGAGUGGAAGGCCCCUUCUCCCCAGGGGCAGAACAACCGUCAGGACCCCCGCUUGACUGUCUUUGGUGGCAAGCAUGGCUGGAGUUGGCCACCCUGAGCUCAUUAUGUUGAGCACAGAGAAAUUUACCACAGGGGAAAGAAAGCAAUGCCAGAACCCUGGGCAGCCCAGGAAGAAGGCCACACUAAGCGUCUUGUGUUAAGGGUCCCUUCUCCCACAGAUGAGCCAUUUCUGGGCUAAAAUCCAUAUAGUUUUGUCCUUUCCCUCCCUAAGCUGUGAAGGAAGUGGGAGCAGUAGACAAAGCUGGGCAUCCACCCAGGGCUGGGCAGGUCUGGGGCAGA